GCCAGGCGUGGUGGCGCACGCCUGUAAUCCCAGCUACUCGGGAGGCUGAGGCAGAAGAAUUGCUUGAACUCAGAGGGUGGAGAUUGCAGUGAGCCCAGAUUACGCCACUGCACUCCAGCCUGGGCAACAGAGUGAGACUCUGUCUCAA
Molecule: non-coding RNA, 148 nt
Filed under: Homo sapiens (human)
Lineage: Eukaryota; Metazoa; Chordata; Mammalia; Primates; Hominidae
Source: Rfam by way of RNAcentral